Molecule: long non-coding RNA, 1831 nt
Organism: Amphiprion ocellaris (clown anemonefish)
Lineage: Eukaryota; Metazoa; Chordata; Actinopteri; Pomacentridae
Source: Ensembl
UUUCAGGUCCGUUGCACCUUUCAUCUACAUGCUCAAUGUGUAGAGUGAAGGUGUAAAGCAAGAGAAUUAUUUGAAUGUAAUCUUUGGCAUGAUCACCAUUAGAAGAAAAUAGUAUUGGUAAAAGUUUGGCUGUUUUUCAUAUGGAAGUGAAAGACACUAAAGGAUUUCCUGAAUUAACUAAGCAGAUUCUGGUGGUCUUGUGAUUUUGUCCUGUGACACUCUGAGAAGUUGCCACAUUAUCACCAUACAGCUGUUCACACUGUGCCAGAUGCUGACGAUGAGUGCUGACAGGUGGAUUCUCCUCUUAGCCCUGUGCUUCACACGUGCGGAUUCAAAUGAUGAGCACUUAUACGAAGAUUAUCAUGAGGAUAAUCAGUGUGAAACACAGAAACUCAAGGCUCCUCUUGGCUCGUCUGUGUUCCUACCGUGCAGCUUAUCAACAAGUAGCCAAAACUGGGUGACAUGGACCCAGGGUGGCAAGGCAGAGCUGGCAAAGCUCUCCUUUGAAGGGCGCGUCAAGUUCCUGGACCCCAGACAUGGCAGAGUGAAAGCUUUUCCAAACCAGGUCUCAGAGGGAAAUUUCUCCAUCCGCAUCGAUGAGCUGAACAACUCUGACCUGGGCAGCUAUCGCUGUAUACAGGGAGAUUACUGUCAAAAAGUGGAGUUGCUUGCUGACAGUACCCUGAGCACAGAGAUGUUGCUACUGAUUUCCAUUAGUGCUGGGGUGGCUGCGCUCAUCCUGCUAAGUGUUGCUGGAUAUUUCUGCUGCAAGAAAUGUGUCGUGCCCUGCCACAACAAAACCCAAGACAAUGCAAACAAUCCUGUCAAUGCAGGUAUUGAGGCAGGUGCCAGUGCUCCCCCUGCUCCUCCAGCAGCAGUACAUGGACAGCAGAUUGGACCAGACAAUAACAGUCUUGUUUAUGAAAACGAUGAUCAGUACUUUGCCAGCGCUGCCCCCGCCAGACACCACGGUGGUCACCCUGGAGCUAUGCAGAAUCAGCCCAGUCAAGCACCCAGUGGGAUUUACCCAAACCUGAGCGAGUUUAAGAUGGAAAGAGUGGAAAGUCAGAGAACAAGAAUGAGAUUUCACAUAGGUGCUUAACUGUAAUCACUAUGAAUACAGCAGCUUGUAUUUAAAGUUGUAACAAUACAAAGUAACUCAGUCGUCUCUCGUCUCCUUAGAACUCAUCAACAGAUUACGGCAUGCAAGUCUUAGUCGACAUUAUUACGGUAUAUACGGUAUAUGAGCAUCUUUGAUUAUUUUGUGUCAUUUCAAUUCUGUCACGCAUUUUACUCAUUCCCUUUAAUAUACAGUUAAUCAAGGUGAACUCAGGAAGCAACAAGCCAUGUCGACACAGGCCGAGAAUCAUCACAGAGCAGGUGUCGGGAAGAAGAAAGCCAAAGAAGACGGUGAAUACAAAAACCCGAUUUACAACAGGAGCACUGACCAGCUCAACCAUCUGUAGAGAAUCAAGGACAAAGAACAUCCUCUGACAAAGACCGCUAUUGACUAUUCAUUUUCUAUUUCUAUUACUUUUGCUUCUGUAUUUUUAAAAAAGUGAUAUGUGUUUUAUUGUAGUUGUAGUAUGAAUUCACUGUACCUCACUGCUUUUGCUGCACAUCCAUGACUGCUGUUUCAUAAAGUACAUUAAAUCAAUAUCUCACUUACAAAUUGGCUUCAUCCUAGUGGUUAUUUCACAAUCCAAAAUGGCUUUUUCGAAGCAAACAUUUUUGUCCUAGUGUCAGUAAUGUAGACAGGUGUGCUGCAUAAAUUCAUGAAAGACUGUUGACCUCCUCAAUUGAGAAACUUUACAAUAUAACAUAACGGGAC